RNAcentral lists this ribosomal RNA (492 nucleotides) under uncultured bacterium. RNAcentral's name for it is "partial 16S ribosomal RNA". It matches the Rfam family "Bacterial small subunit ribosomal RNA", at positions 29 to 507 of the family's 1533-position model. The record is from RNAcentral.
AGUGAUCGCUGGCGGUAGACCUAACACAUGCAAGUCGAACGGCAGCACAGUAAGAGCUUGCUCUUACGGGUGGCGGGUGGCGGACGGGUGAGGAAUACAUCGGAAUCUACUUUUUCGUGGGGGAUAACGUAGGGAAACUUACGCUAAUACCGCAUACGACCUACGGGUGAAAGCAGGGGAUCUUCGGACCUUGCGCGAUUGAAUGAGCCGAUGUCGGAUUAGCUAGUUGGCGGGGUAAAGGCCCACCAAGGCGACGAUCCGUAGCUGGUCUGAGAGGAUGAUCAGCCACACUGGAACUGAGACACGGUCCAGACUCCUACGGGAGGCAGCAGUGGGGAAUAUUGGACAAUGGGCGCAAGCCUGAUCCAGCCAUACCGCGUGGGUGAAGAAGGCCUUCGGGUUGUAAAGCCCUUUUGUUGGGAAAGAAAAGCAGCAGGUUAAUACCCCGCUGUUCUGACGGUACCCAAAGAAUAAGCACCGGCUAACUUCGUG